UGAAACCUACGGGAUGUCACACAUGCAGUCGAACGGCAGCGCGGACUUCGGUCUGGCGGCGAGUGGCGAACGGGUGAGUAAUGUAUCGGAACGUGCCCAGUAGCGGGGGAUAACUACGCGAAAGCGUAGCUAAUACCGCAUACGCCCUACGGGGGAAAGCGGGGGACCUUCGGGCCUCGCACUAUUGGAGCGGCCGAUAUCGGAUUAGCUAGUUGGUGGGGUAAAGGCCUACCAAGGCGACGAUCCGUAGCUGGUUUGAGAGGACGACCAGCCACACUGGGACUGAGACACGGCCCAGACUCCUACGGGAGGCAGCAGUGGGGAAUUUUGGACAAUGGGGGCAACCCUGAUCCAGCCAUCCCGCGUGUGCGAUGAAGGCCUUCGGGUUGUAAAGCACUUUUGGCAGGAAAGAAACGGCUCUGGCUAAUACCUGCGGCAACUGACGGUACCUGCAGAAUAAGCACCGGCUAACUACGUGCCAGCAGCCGCGGUAUACGUAGGGUGCAAGCGUCAAUCGGAAUU
RNAcentral lists this ribosomal RNA (522 nucleotides) under uncultured Bordetella sp. RNAcentral describes it as "bacterial SSU rRNA". It matches the Rfam family "Bacterial small subunit ribosomal RNA", at positions 31 to 552 of the family's 1533-position model. The record is from RNAcentral. Lineage: Bacteria; Pseudomonadati; Pseudomonadota; Betaproteobacteria; Burkholderiales; Alcaligenaceae.